ACAUGCAAGUCGAACGGGGAAAGCUUUCGGGUGAGUACUAGUGGCGCACGGGUGAGGAACGCGUGGAUAAUCUGCCUUAGAGUGGGGGAUAACUAGUCGAAAGAUUAGCUAAUACCGCAUAAGACCACAGGAGCUGCGGCUCUAGGGGUCAAAGGUUUUUCGCUCUAAGAUGAGUCCGCGUAAGAUUAGCUAGUUGGUGAGGUAACGGCUCACCAAGGCGACGAUCUUUAACUGGUCUGAGAGGAUGAUCAGUCACACUGGAACUGAGACACGGUCCAGACUCCUACGGGAGGCAGCAGUAGGGAAUAUUGCACAAUGGAGGAAACUCUGAUGCAGCGACGCCGCGUGAGUGAUGAAGGCCUUCGGGUCGUAAAGCUCUGUCGCAGGGGAAUAACACAAUGAAUGUACCCUGUAAGAAAGGAUCGGCUAACUUCGUGCCAGCAGCCGCGGUAAGACGAGGGAUCCUAGCGUUGUUCGGAAUUAUUGGGCGUAAAGCGGAUGUAGGUGGCUUUGUAAGUCAGAUGUGAAAGCCCAGGGCUCAACCCUGGAAGUGCAUUUGAUACUGCGAAGCUUGAGUGUCGGAGAGGUUACUAGAAUUGUUGGUGUAGUGGUGAAAUACGUAGAUAUCAACAGGAAUACCGGAGGCGAAGGCGGGUAACUGGCCGAACACUGACACUGAGAUCCGAAAGC
Molecule: ribosomal RNA, 690 nt
Filed under: Bdellovibrio sp. CHI
Lineage: Bacteria; Pseudomonadati; Bdellovibrionota; Bdellovibrionia; Bdellovibrionales; Pseudobdellovibrionaceae
Description: bacterial SSU rRNA
Rfam family: Bacterial small subunit ribosomal RNA
Source: RNAcentral